This 616-nucleotide ribosomal RNA is filed under the name Muyocopron laterale. RNAcentral's name for it is "partial 28S ribosomal RNA". It matches the Rfam family "Eukaryotic large subunit ribosomal RNA", at positions 38 to 667 of the family's 3401-position model. The record is from RNAcentral. Lineage: Eukaryota; Fungi; Ascomycota; Dothideomycetes; Muyocopronales; Muyocopronaceae.
GCAUAUCAAUAAGCGGAGGAAAAGAAACCAACAGGGAUUGCCUUAGUAACGGCGAGUGAAGCGGCAACAGCUCAAAUUUGAAAUCUGGCGCCUUUGGCGUCCGAGUUGUAAUUUGCAGAGGAUGCUUCGGCGUUGGCGCCGCCCAAAGUUCCUUGGAACGGGACGUCGCAGAGGGUGAGAGCCCCGUGUUCGGGCGGAUGCCUUCGCCGUGUGAAGCUCCUUCGACGAGUCGAGUUGUUUGGGAAUGCAGCUCAAAACGGGAGGUAAAUUUCUUCCAAAGCUAAAUACCGGCCGGAGACCGAUAGUGCACAAGUAGAGUGAUCGAAAGAUGAAAAGCACUUUGGAAAGAGAGUCAAACAGCGCGUGAAAUUGUUGAAAGGGAAGCGCUUGCGGUCAGAACUUGGCCGCCGUUGCUCGGGGAGGUCUCGCGCCUCCCUCGCUCUUCGGCGGCUGGGCCAGCAUCGGUUCGGGCGGCUCGAGAAAGGCCGCGGGAACGUAGCUCCCUCCGGGGAGUGUUAUAGCCCGCGGCGCAAUAGGGCCCGCCUGGACCGAGGUCUGCGCAUCUGCUCGGAUGCUGGCGUAAUGGCCCCAAGCGGCCCGUCUUGAAACACGGACC